AUGGUCUACCGGAUCUCGACGGCGGACGAGUCCGCGGCCGCGCGGCGCGCGUCCGUCGAGCUCGCGCCGCCCCCGCUCGCCUCCCGCGUCUCCGUCCCCAGGCACGCCUUCGGCCUGGACCCGCUCCGGGCCACAACGGCCAGGGCCGACCUCCGGCCGCCCGUCAACUUCUUCAGCUUCGCCGCCCCGGCCCGCGAGCAGGGCUCCCCGCAGCCGGCGGGCUCCGGGCACAACCUCAUCAACGUGUUCGGCAGCGGCGUGCUCGCCGCGAGCGGCGACGGCCUCCUCCUGAUCGGCACCUUCAGGAACCGCGCCAGCGCCGCCAGCAUCUUCCAGCACCAGGUCCCGUCCCCCGCCCCGUUCGAGGUCCUCGACCAGGCCUACGCGCGCUCCUCCUGCUGCGACCCCAUGAGGCUCGCGCGCUUCGUCUGCAACCCCGUCACCGGCGAGCUGGCCCGCCUCCCGGACUUCGACGGCGCGGAGGACGCCUUCACCGCCCCCACGGGCCUCCUCACCCAGGCCAACGGCGGGCACGGCGGACCGCCCCGGAGGUACGCCGCCGCGCAGCUCAGCGUGGUCAACAAGGGGCGGCGUUUCCGGCUGCGCCGGCUCUCCUCGGAGACCGGGGAGUGGUACGAGCUUCUGCUGCCGUCCCCGCUGCCGGCCGGGCGCCUGAUGCACAUGAACCACGAGGUGCUGGACUUCGGUGGGCGGCUCUGGUGGGUGGACGUGAGCUGGGGCGCCAUCAACGUCGACCCUUUCAGCGACCGGCCCGAGCUCUGCCCCGUCGAGCUGCCGGCAGACGUCAUGAUUCCCGACCAACAGGGCGAGGCAGAGAUGAGGCAGCUCCUCCAGCGCAGGCGCAUGGGGGUCAGCGACGGCAGGCUGAGGUUUGUGGAGGUUGCCAAGGACGAGCCCUUCCGCAUCAAAUCGUUCACGCUGGACGAAGAGAGUGGCCGCUGGAUGCUGGAGCACCAGGUGUCGUGGAGAACACUCUGUCGCGAAGCCAAGGCGUCGCCUUUGAUUGCUGCCAUUGAUCCACUCAGCGCCGACUUGCUGUACCUCACUGUGUCUGUGCCUGUGGGCAAAGGGUUCUGUGCAAGCGUGGACAUGCGCUGGAAGAGACAGGUUGAGUCUGUGGAGUUAGGGCGUGGUGUCAAUCCAAGCAAGUGCAUCUCAAGCUUCGUUCUGCCAUGUGUGCUCCCCUCAUUUCUCGGAUCAAGCCCGAUUCCAGGCAAGAUGAACACCGAGCAAAACAAGACUUUGGCAGAUUUUCUUGUUCGCUCAGACAUCCCAUAG
RNAcentral lists this ribosomal RNA (1299 nucleotides) under Triticum aestivum (bread wheat). RNAcentral's name for it is "partial small subunit ribosomal RNA". Lineage: Eukaryota; Viridiplantae; Streptophyta; Magnoliopsida; Poales; Poaceae. The record is from RNAcentral.